AAAACCGAUAAUUUUUUCAAUGGCAAGGCUUGACCGGGUAAAGAACAUUACCGGAUUAGUUGAGUGCUAUGCUAAAAAUGCCACACUCAGGGAACUGGCUAACCUUGUUGUAGUAGCUGGAUACAACGAUGUAAAGAAAUCCAAUGAUAGAGAAGAAAUAGCAGAAAUUGAGAAGAUGCAUGCUCUUAUGAAGGAACAUAACUUGGAUGGUCAAUUCAGAUGGAUAUCAGCCCAAAUGAACCGGGCACGUAAU
Molecule: unclassified non-coding RNA, 253 nt
Filed under: Hevea brasiliensis (rubber tree)
Lineage: Eukaryota; Viridiplantae; Streptophyta; Magnoliopsida; Malpighiales; Euphorbiaceae
Source: RNAcentral